CAGUAGCCGCGGUAAUACAGAGGGUGCGAGCGUUAAUCGGAUUUACUGGGCGUAAAGCGUGCGUAGGCGGCUUUUUAAGUCGGAUGUGAAAUCCCUGAGCUUAACUUAGGAAUUGCAUUCGAUACUGGGAAGCUAGAGUAUGGGAGAGGAUGGUAGAAUUCCAGGUGUAGCGGUGAAAUGCGUAGAGAUCUGGAGGAAUACCGAUGGCGAAGGCAGCCAUCUGGCCUAAUACUGACGCUGAGGUACAAAAGCAUGGGGAGCAAACAGGAUUAGAUACCCCAGUAGUCCCUGUCUCUUAUAU
This 301-nucleotide ribosomal RNA is filed under the name uncultured bacterium. RNAcentral's name for it is "partial 16S ribosomal RNA". It matches the Rfam family "Bacterial small subunit ribosomal RNA", at positions 509 to 809 of the family's 1533-position model. The record is from RNAcentral.